This 446-nucleotide ribosomal RNA is filed under the name uncultured bacterium. RNAcentral's name for it is "partial 16S ribosomal RNA". It matches the Rfam family "Bacterial small subunit ribosomal RNA", at positions 338 to 795 of the family's 1533-position model. The record is from RNAcentral.
CCUACGGGCGGCAGCAGUCGAGAAUCAUUCACAAUGGGGGAAACCCUGAUGGUGCGACGCCGCGUGGGGGAAUGAAGGUCUUCGGAUUGUAAACCCCUGUCAUGUGGGAGCAAAUUAAAAAGAUAGUACCACAAGAGGAAGAGCCGGCUAACUCUGUGCCAGCAGCCGCGGUAAUACAGAGGUCUCAAGCGUUGUUCGGAAUCACUGGGCGUAAAGCGUGCGUAGGCUGUUUCGUAAGUCGUGUGUGAAAGGCGGGGGCUCAACCCGCGGACGGCACAGGUUACUGCGAGGCUAGAGUAAUGGGGGGGGAACCGGAAUUCGCGGUGUAGCAGUGAAAUGCGUAGAUAUCGAGAGGAACACUCGUGGCGAAGGCGGGUUCCUGGACAUUAACUGACGCUGAGGCACGAAGGCCAGGGGAGCGAAAGGGAUUAGAUACCCGGGUAGUC